CCGACCGAAUAGCCGCAGGGCUCCAAUCACGGUGUGCACCUUUUAUAAGCGCCGCUACACCUGCAACAUGAGGGCACGCCAUAGAUGUUCCACUUAUAAUAUUAAACUUGCUGAAAAACGUUUGAGACUUCAAUUCCAACACAGGAACAUUUGUAGGCCACGCAGCUAAGAUCGAAGUACCAGGUGCAGUAAUAUCAGGUUUCAACACAAAUGGACAACUAUAUGAUGGGCCUCUUGAACUAUAAGAACUAACUCUAGGUGUUGGUUUAACACCAAAACCUGUUUCCAUGAAAGACAUGUUUGCAACUGAAGUAGCAUGGUUAGAAUUGUAAUAACUCUUUAUGUAAGCUUUGAUAAUUUCCCCAAACAUUGGAUCAACAAUGAUGGUUGCAAAACUAUUUUGUGAAUAGUAUGUACUUGAGACAUUUGAAAUCAAAACAGCACCAAAAACUUUUGCAACAUCCAAAUAAUAGACUUGAUCAUGAAUGUUAGUUCCAUUCUUUUCUUCACACACCACAAUCUUUUUCUUCGCUUUUUUCAAUUCUUUAACAUUGUCACAUAAACCCAUGAAAACAAUAGGAACAUUAUGUGUAGGGAAUGUUCCUACGUAGAGAGACAAUCCUGUGAUUUUGUUACCAUUUCCUAGUGUAAGAGUCCCAUGGAAAGUUCUGUCCAUAGUACCAGCAGCCACAGUUAUAACCCAAGGUGUUCCAUUGUGUAAUGUUUUGAGUUUUGGCCCUUCAUUUCCAGCUGAAGUGGUAACAAAAACACCUUUUUCCAUAGCUGCAAAUGUGGCUAUAGCAACAGGAUCUUCAUACAAAGGUACUUCAUCAAGACCAAAUGAUAAUGAAAGAACAUCAACACCGUCUGAUAUUGCAGCGUCAAUUGCAGCUAUUACAUCAGACGAUAGCAAUCCACCUUCCCAUAUAGCUUUAUACAUUGAUACACGUGAAUUCGAAGCUAUACCUGAAGCUUUUCCAGCUGCAUAACCAAAGAAUGAAGCUUCAUCAACUCUACUUCCGGCUGCUGUUGAUGAAGUGUGAGUCCCAUGACCUUCUGUGUCGCGUGUGGAGUUUAAUCCUAAGGUGAUGUUUGGAUAUUUUGCUAAUAUUCCUUUGUUGAAGAAUUUAGCACCAAUUAAUUUUUUGUUGCAAAGUGAUGAAUUGAAAUGAAUGCUAUUUUCACAUUUUCCUUUCCAUUUUGAAGGAAUGUUAGCAAUUCCAUUAUCUUUGAAGCUUUCACUUUCUGGCCAAACACCUGUGUCAAUCAAACCAACAAUCACAUCUUUACCAAAAUUCGAAUCAUGCCAAGCUCCUACGUUUGGAUUGAGACCAAGGAAUUGAGGUGAGUGUGUUGUGUCAAGCUUCAAGUGUAAAUCAGGUAUGGAAGAAAUGUAACCAGGAGAGUUUUUGAGAGAUUCAUGUUCUUUUGGUGACAAAUUAGCACUGAAACCAUUCAUGGCAUGCGUGUAGGUGUAAAUUAACUUAGAUGAAAUUGGAGAGUUGAGAUUAUCGGAUGUUGCAAGUUGAGGUUUCUCUAAUGCAGAGGAAAGAGUUGAUUGAUACCAUGUGUGAUGAGUUGAGAAUGCUUUAGGCAUGGCUGAUAUGUUCAUGUGUAUGAUAUAGUUAUCAGAUUGAGCUAGUGAAGGAAAUGAAGUGAUGAAAAUGAAGUGGAGGAAUAUUGCAAUAUAGUAGAACAACAUGGAUUGAGAAAUAUGGGAAGUCAUGGUUGGAAGGUGUUCUUGAAUAAUGAGAACCGGUGUGUGUUUAUAUAGAGAAACUAUAAAAUUAAACUAACAUGGAUGCAUAGGUAAGUUGGUAGCUAACUAGACUUUUAAGUUUAUAGUCAACACUCAAAAAUACAUUUCACUAAUAGGGUGAGAAUAAAUUAGACAGAGCUAAAUUUUUUAAAGCUUAAGUAUGACGUGGUUUAUAAAAGAAGCUAAUUAGGCGUCUNNNNNNNNNNNNNNNNNNNNNNNNNNNNNNNNNNNNNNNNNNNNNNNNNNNNNNNNNNNNNNNNNNNNNNNNNNNNNNNNNNNNNNNNNNNNNNNNNNNNNNNNNNNNNNNNNNNNNNNNNNNNNNNNNNNNNNNNNNNNNNNNNNNNNNNNNNNNNNNNNNNNNNNNNNNNNNNNNUACGGGGCACAAUUCAACACUAAUAUCAUUCUUAUGUCCGCAAUUGAAUUGAAUACGGAUAAUGAGAGGAUUCACCAAACAUUCAACAUAUGACAUUGGAUAUACAUUUAACAACAUAUCUGUGUUUCCUUAGUAAUUACUAAUUACACCAAGAAAUGAAUCUACUAGUGUGAGGUUGUUAGCCUCUAUCUUGCCACUAAACUUGACCACCAUUUGUUUCAAAACCAAAUAAAAGGUAGCAUACAUGUAGGAAAGAUUUCGACAAUCACGUACAACAUUAACAUUCAACAGAAAAGCAUGGUACACUCACAUGAAAGAAACCAUAACCCAUGUUGUCACCAACCCAUGUUGUCACCAACCCAUGUUGACUAAACUUUUUAAAAUAUUUUUAUUUUUUUCCCUAUUUUUAUGCAUAGAUUUAUAACUUUUUCCCCAAAAUAAUACAAUCAUACACCAGCCCAAACUUCAUAGAUUUGACCACACAAUAAUAUAUUAUAUCUAUAUAUUAUAUUAUAUAUAAUUUUACACACGAAUAUAUAAUUAAUUAAUACUGAUCACACUCACACAAGCCAUGGCCACAACCAGUACCACUAAUUUUGUGGGAGGACAAUACACAUGGUAAAGAGGACAAUAAAUAAGGAAACUUCAAACAUAGGUCACCCAAAAUAAUACAAUCAUACAUCGGCCCAAACUUCAUAGAUUUCUCCAAUUUGACACCUCUUUCUGCACCCUCAAUUGAAAAAUGCCACAACAAAGAGAUCAACUAAAAUAAAUGCCACGUACUUGUGAUUUUUUUUUUCUUUAAGAUUUGUUUUGUAUGGAAUGAGUUGAUUCUAAAUCACUCAAAUAGACAGAUACUUGAGCUCCUUAACUAUUUGAUCUUAGGUUCGAUCGAUGGUCAGUGUCUAGUUCAAAUUAUAAUUUUUCUUAGAACUGCAAUGGAACCUCAUGGGUAAGGAUAAGGUAAUGGAAUUGAUAGAUAAAUUCAUAUACCUAGGUAGGAUGGGAGAGUGGAUAAAGGGAAUAGAGAUGACCCUGGAUUAGGGGUGUAAUUUCUUUUUUUGAAUAAAAAUAUUUUAGUUCAUUAUUGUACGUGCGCGAGCGUGUGCGUAUGUGCGUGUAUGUGUCUAAUAAGUUCUUUAUGUUGUUAACUAAACCGAGAGAAAUAAACUCAAAUUCUUUCAAAUGAUUUGUAGAUCUCAUUAAACAAUUUGGUUUAAUUAAUUGGUUUGAAUACUAAAUUUUAACAUAAUCAUUUUUGUUUCUUUCAAUUAAAUCUUCUAUCUAAACUACGAAAUUUCUAAUUUUUUCCUUUUUUAUCCAAUCAAAUAAUUGCAGAAAAACGUAUAAUUUUUUUUAUCAUUUUGAUAAAUUAUAAAUUCUAAUAGUUUUUUUUCACUAAUAGUUUUGAGUAAUUAAUUUUUGAAAUUGUAUUGUUGUGUACAAAUUAAAGAAUGCCAAAAGUUUUAUACUUUACUUUAGAUAAAAAAAAAAAAAAACAGACAAUUACAUGUUUAUUUGAUCAAAGGGUUGUUGUGCUCAGGACCCUUUGUUUUACUCUUAGAAAGGGGCUCCACCUUUGUUAUACUACUGAAGUUAAGCUGAACUGUUUUGUAUUGAGUGUGGCAUGUCUUAUGCCUUAGAGAAACUCUUACUUGGGCACAAGUCCAACACUUGUCAUGAAAAAAAAAUAAAAAAUUAUUCGAACAUUUUAAAAUGCAAAAUCAUUUAUAAUCAUAAUGUUCUCCAACAUAUAUCCUUCUCAAUUAAUGAAAAAGUAUAGUGAGUGUCAAAAGUAACUCUCUUGAGGUGUCGAAUUUUCAACACCCCUAGUAAGGGUCGUCGGUCGGUCCCCUAUAAGACAUCUCACUUAAGAUUAAUUUUCAACAUCCCUAUUAGUGUUACCUGCACAUUAAGAUCAAUUUUUCCAUUCCAAUCAUUGCCUGAGAAAUCUGAAACAAAAAAACAGCACAAAGCCAGAAAAACACCAAAUCUAAUCUCUGGUAAAUUGACAAUCCAAACUAUAGGAUCAGACUGCUAUAAUAGACUACUAAUCAAUUUUACUGCCUUCCAUAUAGUAAACUCAAAUCAAUAAUAUGGACACAUUCAGUCCCUACAAAACUACAUGAAUUUGGACCACACCUUAUAAGAUAAUAGAUAUGUCAAGAAAAGUUGCAUGGUUGCACAUCUCAGGACCAUUAAAAAUUAUCACUGUUAAAAAAUUAUAAAUAUCAUAAACAUAAUAAUGAAUCCUACAAAAUAAUUUUAGUUAAGUGAGAAAUGAAUAUUAUUUAUCAUAACUUAAUUUGCAUUCAUCGAUUGACUCAUGAUAAUAACCUCUCCAACAUCAUUCUUCACUACAAUUACAUUACAUAGAUAGUGGUGACCACAAUUGGACUCCUAACAACAUGCUUUACAUCCAUCCAAGUUAGAGAUCCAAUAUUCACAUAUUUUGUCAUAUUUGAAACUUCAAUCCUCAACUUGUAACUUAACUUCUCAUUCUUCUCUUUGAACACCAAUUUGUUUGGAAUAACACUGACAUGGAACCCUUCAAUUGGAGUAAUGCUAGCAACAUAAGUUGUUUGUCCCUCACCAACAUUGGUCACUGUUCUGUGAAAUUCUUGUAUUGUACUUGAAGAAGAAUUUCUUCCAUCGAAGAAAGCAAUAAAAGAAGGGUAGUUGAGAUCCAAUGAAGGUUUAGAGCAAUCAUUGGAAGAAGAUCUUGUAAUGGUAGUGAUGUUUUGUUGUGAGUAAUCAAGUGCACAAAGAAGAUUAACAUAAUCUUUUACACCAACAUCAUAAACAAGACCAGGAUCAAGUGCUCUAUUAGGAUUAAUAUGACCAGCUCCUAAUGCAAAAGGUGUUGCUAUGUAACCUGUAUCAAUUUCUUUGAUUUGUUCGUUAGUAUUAUCAAAUAUGUCUGAUGUUGUCAUUAUGGCCGAACGAAUAGCCGCAGGACUCCAGUCAUGGUGUGCACCUUUUAUAAGCGCUGCUACGCCUGCAACAUGAGGACAUGACAUAGAUGUUCCACUUUCUAUAUUGAAUUUACUGAAAAAUUUAUGAGCAUUCAAUUGCAACACAGGAACAUUUGUAGGCCAUGCUGCUAAGAUCGAAGUACCGGGCGCAGUAAUGUCAGGUUUCAACACAAAUGGACAACUAAAUGAUGGGCCUCUUGAACUAUAAGAAUCAACAGUAGGUGCUGGUUUAACAUCAAAACCUGUUUUCAUGAAAGACAUGCUUGCCGAUGAAGUAGAAUUGUAAUACCUCUUGAUGUAAGCUUUGACAAUUUC
This 5422-nucleotide long non-coding RNA is filed under the name Trifolium pratense (red clover). RNAcentral describes it as "long non-coding RNA (TPRA_LNC002738)". Lineage: Eukaryota; Viridiplantae; Streptophyta; Magnoliopsida; Fabales; Fabaceae. The record is from RNAcentral.